CCUACGGGCGGCAGCAGUGAGGAACAUUGGUCAAUGGCCGAGAGGCUGAACCAGCCAAGUCGCGUGAGGGAAGACGGCCCUACGGGUUGUAAACCUCUUUUGUCGGGGAGCAAAGCGAGUCACGUGUGACUCAUUGAGAGUACCCGAAGAAAAAGCAUCGGCUAACUCCGUGCCAGCAGCCGCGGUAAUACGGAGGAUGCGAGCGUUAUCCGGAUUUAUUGGGUUUAAAGGGUGCGCAGGCGGAGGUGCAAGUCAGCGGUCAAAUUGCGGGGCUCAACCCCGUACUGCCGUUGAAACUGCAUCCCUUGAGUGCGCGAGAAGUAUGCGGAAUGCGUGGUGUAGCGGUGAAAUGCAUAGAUAUUACACAGAACACCGAUUGCGAAGGCAGCUUGCUAGGCCGGAUCUGACACUGAUGCACGAAAGCGUGGGGAUCGAACAGGAUUAGAUACCCGAGUAGUC
This 459-nucleotide ribosomal RNA is filed under the name uncultured bacterium. RNAcentral describes it as "partial 16S ribosomal RNA". It matches the Rfam family "Bacterial small subunit ribosomal RNA", at positions 338 to 795 of the family's 1533-position model. The record is from RNAcentral.